This 126-nucleotide small RNA is filed under the name Salmonella enterica. Its description in RNAcentral is "RtT sRNA". It matches the Rfam family "RtT RNA". Rfam says of the family: This family represents a bacterial cis-regulatory element known as RtT RNA. Lineage: Bacteria; Pseudomonadati; Pseudomonadota; Gammaproteobacteria; Enterobacterales; Enterobacteriaceae. RNAcentral also lists the same sequence under 1 other name. The record is from RNAcentral.
UUGCUAUCUGCGAUAUGGAAGAUUCGAACCUGCCGCAGGUUCGGGUCGAACGCAGUGAGACAACGGAGCCGUUUACGGCGACGGCCAGAAGGGCGAGCGAAGCGAGUCAUCCUGCACGACCCACCA